ACACCGGCGGCCCGAGUGGUGAUCGUGAUUAUUGGGUCUAAAGGGUCCGUAGCCGGUUUGGUCAGUCCUCCGGGAAAUCUGAUAGCUCAACUAUUAGGCUUUCGGGGGAUACUGCCAGACUUGGAACCGGGAGAGGUAAGAGGUACUACAGGGGUAGGAGUGAAAUCUUGUAAUCCCUGUGGGACCACCUGUGGCGAAGGGGUCUUACCAGAACGGGUUCGACGGUGAGGGACGAAAGCUGGGGGCACGAACCGGAUUAGAUACCCGGGUAGUCCCAGCCGUAAACGAUGCUCGCUAGGUGUCAGGCAUGGCGCGACCGUGUCUGGUGCCGCAGGGAAGCCGUGAAGCGAGCCACCUGGGAAGUACGGCCGCAAGGCUGAAACUUAAAGGAAUUGACGGGG
RNAcentral lists this ribosomal RNA (401 nucleotides) under uncultured bacterium. Its description in RNAcentral is "partial 16S ribosomal RNA". It matches the Rfam family "Archaeal small subunit ribosomal RNA", at positions 473 to 873 of the family's 1478-position model. The record is from RNAcentral.